AGAGUUUGAUCAUGGCUCAGAUUGAACGCUGGCGGCAUGCCUUACACAUGCAAGUCGAACGGCAGCAUGAUCUAGCUUGCUAGAUUGAUGGCGAGUGGCGAACGGGUGAGUAAUACAUCGGAACGUGCCCUGUAGUGGGGGAUAACUAGUCGAAAGAUUAGCUAAUACCGCAUACGACCUGAGGGUGAAAGUGGGGGACCGCAAGGCCUCAUGCUAUAGGAGCGGCCGAUGUCUGAUUAGCUAGUUGGUGAGGUAAAGGCUCACCAAGGCGACGAUCAGUAGCUGGUCUGAGAGGACGAUCAGCCACACUGGGACUGAGACACGGCCCAGACUCCUACGGGAGGCAGCAGUGGGGAAUUUUGGACAAUGGGCGAAAGCCUGAUCCAGCAAUGGCCGCGUGUGUGAAGAAGGCCUUCGGGUUGUAAAGCACUUUUGUCCGGAAAGAAAUGGCUCUGGUUAAUACCUGGGGUCGAUGACGGUACCGGAAGAAUAAGGACCGGCUAACUACGUGCCAGCAGCCGCGGUAAUACGUAGGGUCCAAGCGUUAAUCGGAAUUACUGGGCGUAAAGCGUGCGCAGGCGGUUGUGCAAGACCGAUGUGAAAUCCCCGAGCUUAACUUGGGAAUUGCAUUGGUGACUGCACGGCUAGAGUGUGUCAGAGGGGGGUAGAAUUCCACGUGUAGCAGUGAAAUGCGUAGAGAUGUGGAGGAAUACCGAUGGCGAAGGCAGCCCCCUGGGAUAACACUGACGCUCAUGCACGAAAGCGUGGGGAGCAAACAGGAUUAGAUACCCUGGUAGUCCACGCCCUAAACGAUGUCAACUAGUUGUUGGGGAUUCAUUUCCUUAGUAACGUAGCUAACGCGUGAAGUUGACCGCCUGGGGAGUACGGUCGCAAGAUUAAAAC
This 903-nucleotide ribosomal RNA is filed under the name uncultured bacterium. RNAcentral's name for it is "bacterial SSU rRNA". It matches the Rfam family "Bacterial small subunit ribosomal RNA", at positions 8 to 900 of the family's 1533-position model. The record is from RNAcentral.